AAACGAAUGUCGUGUGUGGAAAGGAAAGGGGGGGAUAUGCUCGUAUACUGAUAUGUGUACACAUAUGCGAACGUGAUAACCCAAAGCGGAAACGGAAAUACGAGGAGCGGAAGACGAACAAUGUUGGACUGUGUUUAAAGUAAAUAGUCUGGAUUGAUGAAAGUUGCAUUCGAGAAUUCAUCAACAGGCAUUUACUUCAACUGCAGUUUGAACAAAAUGCAACAGGAAAAUAACGAGUGCGCAGUGAAUUAUUCAGAUUAUCUAUGUAUAAGCUUGUUCCAUUAGAGUUAUGAACUAGUUUAGAGCAGGAAUCGGUGACCUAAUUGAAUAUACCUAUAUAAAUAUGAAUACAUUUUAAUUUUCAUUCUCAUUUGCGAAAUAUUUUCAAUUACUAAAUGCAUUCAGGGCAUUCAAACUGAUUUUCCACACAAAUUAUUCCCAUUUCCACUGAUGCCAUCCGAGAUCAUUUACACCGAUUUCUAUCGUUGACAGUGCGACAGGAGAACGAGCGCAACUUCCGCGAGAAUCUGGAGCGCACCUGGAUGAUGAAGAACCGCACCGAGCUGAAUCUGCAGCGCCAGCAGAUGGAGAUGCAGCAGCAGCACGUCGUUCCAUGAGCGAAAGGAAGGAAGUGACGCCGCUGGAGCAGAUGCGACCGGAUGAGAUGUCAGCACGAGCUGGAAAUGUCAGCGGUUGGCAGCAAGGACAACAAGUUUGUGGCAGGAAGCCGGAGGACCCUUCUGCCCCUCACUUCCUGAACUCCCCCAACUCCCUUCCUGCCCCGCCCAAUCAAAGUUAUGCGCACAAAUGCUACAAAGAAUAACAGAAAGGACGAGAAAUCGAAUCAAAAGAAAUUGUUAACUAAAAAAUAAUUGAGGAUGGAGCACUCCGAAGUGCUCGGCUAAAGCUAAGCCCAAUGCUAAUUGUAGUUAAGUCUGCCCAGGCGGAAAUCACUUGUUUUAUAUCUAACUGAGAGGUAGACUCCACUUAGAGCAAACCAAAUAUAAUUCAAUGGUCGAGAAAAUCAAAAGUGAUGCAGUUUAGUCAAUAGUUAAAGCGUUGUUUAUAGAAUAACUUCGAUGACAUUUUAAAUAUUAGAUCGGCAACGUUCUGGUACUCAAAUUCAAACAACCCAACAGAUUUAAAAUCAAUUGCAAAUGUGUCUAUCAAUAGGCAAUAGUCGUUUUUAUUCCAAGAACCCAAUGUACAAAAGUAGCUUGUACUGCGUUUCACUGCCUAACCCAGGCACACUUGCAAUUGGAUUUAAACAAAAGAAGUAUCGCAUUAUAAUUUAUAAUUUAAAUUUAAUUACUCAGUUUAGAAUUAAUUUGGUGUAGCUUAAUAAGUAUGAAUUCCCCUAUUGAAAUUGAAGUUGUUUACCAGAACCAGCCUGAUUGUCCUGUAAUUAUUGCGUCAAGGAUAUGAUCUACUUGGGGCUGCAGGACGACGCCAAACGGAAGGAGCAAUUAAAAGGUUUCGAUUGUUCAGUUGAUUAGCGAAAUGGUUUCAAUUUUUCUUCAGCCAAGCUUUUCCUUUGGUUUUCCCACCCGACAAAUACCCUCCUGAAUGGCGUCGACAGGCAGCUGUCGAAGAAAAAGAGGAGAAAAGUUGGUCAAUAGUUACGUCUGAAACUAAGUUGUUAACUGAAAAAGUACUCCUAAGUAAAUGUUAAUAGCAAUAAACAACCGAAAGUUUUUGUAUCUCUUAGACGUUGAAGAUGUUGAAGCGGAGUUGGAAGAAAAGCGCAAGCAUAAGUAUCAAGUAUUCCACGAUAGAUUUUGAGUAAAACUACAAUUCAUAGGUUAACAAUAAUUGUAAAGGAGCAAGGAAACAUUCAAUAGAAUUACUCGAACUUCGAAGUCAACUUGUGCCAAUGAAAAAAGCCUACAAAAUCCUAAUGAGAACCUGCAAUAAAUGUGGCGUAGCGUAACUUAAUAAACAAUUAAAUAACAAAUGCGCGGAGAAGUUAGAUAUUUAGCGGAUCGAUGUGAAACUGUUACUUAAGUGCAAAACGAGCUUGUUGUCGAAUUAAUUUUUAAACGGAUUAAACUAAGUGAAUCUAAGCUAAAUGUUAAAUGUUUUUUUAGGUGUUCAAUGUUACAAUUAUUUGUGGUCGAGCAUCCGACGAGGAAGAAUUGAUUGCCCAGCCUUCACCAAAUGAAUAAGUUUAUAAACCUGUGCUAACUCAGUUGCAAGUCAAACGACAAAUUUAGCUUGAAGCAAACUUCUAUCGGUUUCAGCCAACAGAGCGUUGCAGGCUUGAAAGCAAAGUUGAGAACGAACUUCCCUGACCGCCCAUCUUUUAGCCCAGUUACCAAUUAGCCGGAUAUGUAUUUAUCAACCUAAAUGUUUCCCAAUACUCGCCAGCCCGAUUGCACAAAGGUAAUUUAAUAGGUUUUUGGUCUCUGGCGUUAAAUUAAUGUGAGAUUCAAAGAUACUUUGUAGCCACAAAACAAAUUUACAUGCAUAAACAUCACAUGAAAACAAAGAGAAAAAUAACAAAGUGCAUGAUUUUAGGAAAUAUCUUAAAAACAAACAAAUUUUUGUUUUUCCAUUCAAAACUGAUACGGUUAACUCUUAACUAAAAACUGGCUAAAUUAUUUGCAAUAAAUAUCUGAUUUAAGAGCACAUGUUUCAGGUAAAUUACGUGAUUUUAUAGUUGGACAGUUUCAGCUUUUCCUUACAAUUAGUUUUCUCUGUAUACGAAUUUAUUUGUUUUUAAGCCAUUUGGCGAGCAGGGAAGCGGAAUUUCAAUGGCGGGCAGGGCGAAAACAAAUGGAAAGCUUUAAAUUAGCUCAAUAAAUUGUAAACUUAAACAUUUAAUCUACUUAGAGCGGGUCGUUGUUAAAUGCAAUGCAAGUACAUCUGGGACAAAGAAUCACACACCUCAUUCAGAUUUGUAAGAUACG
Molecule: non-coding RNA, 2909 nt
Organism: Drosophila melanogaster (fruit fly)
Lineage: Eukaryota; Metazoa; Arthropoda; Insecta; Diptera; Drosophilidae
Source: Ensembl